AUUGAACGCUGGCGGCAGGCCUAACACAUGCAAGUCGAGCGGAUGAAGGGAGCUUGCUCCUGGAUUCAGCGGCGGACGGGUGAGUAAUGCCUAGGAAUCUGCCUGGUAGUGGGGGAUAACGUCCGGAAACGGGCGCUAAUACCGCCUACGUCCUGAGGGAGAAGGUGGGGGAUCUUCGGACCUCACGCUAUCAGAUGAGCCUAGGUCGGAUUAGCUAGUUGGUGGGGUAAAGGCCUACUAAGGCGACGAUCCGUAACUGGUCGGAGAGGAUGAUCAGUCGCACUGGAACUGAGACACGGUCCAGACUCCUACGGGAGGCAGCAGUGGGGAAUGUUGGACAAUGGGCGGAAGCCUGGUCCAGCCAUGCCGCGUGUGUGAAGAAGGUCUUCGGAUUGUAAAGCACGUUAAGUUGGGAGGAAGGGCAGUAAGUUAAUACCUAGCUGUUUUGACGGUACCAACAGAAUAAGCACCGGCUAACUUCGUG
RNAcentral lists this ribosomal RNA (484 nucleotides) under uncultured bacterium. RNAcentral's name for it is "partial 16S ribosomal RNA". It matches the Rfam family "Bacterial small subunit ribosomal RNA", at positions 30 to 507 of the family's 1533-position model. The record is from RNAcentral.